AAUCUACCUUUUACAGAGGGAUAGCCCAGAGAAAUUUGGAUUAAUACCUCAUAGUAUAGCUCUACCGCAUGGUAGUACUAUUAAAGUCACAACGGUAAAAGAUGAGCAUGCGUCCCAUUAGCUAGUUGGUAAGGUAACGGCUUACCAAGGCUACGAUGGGUAGGGGUCCUGAGAGGGAGAUCCCCCACACUGGUACUGAGACACGGACCAGACUCCUACGGGAGGCAGCAGUGAGGAAUAUUGGACAAUGGGCGCAAGCCUGAUCCAGCCAUGCCGCGUGCAGGAUGACGGUCCUAUGGAUUGUAAACUGCUUUUAUACGAGAAGAAACACUACUUCGUGAAGUAGCUUGACGGUAUCGUAAGAAUAAGGAUCGGCUAACUCCGUGCCAGCAGCCGCGGUAAUACGGAGGAUCCAAGCGUUAUCCGGAAUCAUUGGGUUUAAAGGGUCCGUAGGCGGUUUAAUAAGUCAGUGGUGAAAGCCCAUCGCUCAACGGUGGAACGGCCAUUGAUACUGUUAGACUUGAAUUAUUAGGAAGUAACUAGAAUAUGUAGUGUAGCGGUGAAAUGCUUAGAGAUUACAUGGAAUACCAAUUGCGAAGGCAGGUUACUACUAAUGGAUUGACGCUGAUGGACGAAAGCGUGGGUAGCGAACAGGAUUAGAUACCCUGGUAGUCCACGCCGUAAACGAUGG
Molecule: ribosomal RNA, 691 nt
Filed under: Flavobacterium collinsii
Lineage: Bacteria; Pseudomonadati; Bacteroidota; Flavobacteriia; Flavobacteriales; Flavobacteriaceae
Also listed under: 1 other name
Description: bacterial SSU rRNA
Rfam family: Bacterial small subunit ribosomal RNA
Source: RNAcentral